This is a non-coding RNA of Camellia sinensis, 510 nucleotides long. NCBI's taxonomy places the organism in Eukaryota, Viridiplantae, Streptophyta, Magnoliopsida, Ericales, Theaceae. The record is from RefSeq and is a predicted model, not a curated record.
GUGGAGGGUACAUUUAUGUUGGUGUCCCGCCUUUGUACAAGGUUGAAAGGGGAAAGCAAGCAUAUUAUUGCUAUGACGAAGCAGAUCUGAAACGACUACAGAGUUCGUUCCCUCCAAAUGCAUCAUAUAACAUUCAGAGGUUCAAAGGUUUAGGAGAGAUGAUGCCUUUACAAUUAUGGGAGACAACACUUGAUCCAGAGAGAAGAUUGCUAAAGCAACUAGUGGUUGAGGAUGCAGCAGAAGCGAAUGUUGUUUUCUCCUCUCUUAUGGGUGCCCGGGUGGAUGUGCGGAAGGAACUUAUUCAGAAAUCUUCAGGCAUGAUCAACCUUGACCACCUCGAUAUCUGAACGGGGUAUAUCAUCAACUAUAGAAGGUUGAAAAUUGUUUGCACUGUAUAUUUUACGAGAUCAAUCAAGUGUAAACGCUUCACAAGGGGGAAGAGGCAAUCAAAUGUAGACAUUUUUAUAAUUUUGUGUGAAGCGGAUGCAUGUUUAUUGCAUUUUGUCCAUU